GGGGGUGAUCGGUUUCGACUUGGGACGGUAGUUCCAGGAGAAGCGGGCCGAGGAUCCAAGGUCAACUCGUAAACGACCCUUGGAAACAAAUAAGUGCCAACUCUAAGCGCACGAACUUCGCUCUCGCUGCCUGAGCAGUGAUCGAAGGGUCAGCCCGGGGUCGUCUCCGACCCGGAAUCUGGCCUCGUCAGGAGACUUACCCGCUCGAGCUGAGUCUCGGGGCUGAGCGGGGACAUCAACUGAGGCUGGGCCUGGCUACGACCGUGCUGGUGCAAGCGUAGGGGCCGAGUAGACCGACAUACACCAGCUGCGCCCGGAGAAGACCUGGUUCGCUGCUCGAGGACGCGGGUUCGAUUCCCGCCACCUCCAC
Molecule: transfer-messenger RNA, 370 nt
Filed under: Microlunatus endophyticus
Lineage: Bacteria; Bacillati; Actinomycetota; Actinomycetes; Propionibacteriales; Propionibacteriaceae
Rfam family: transfer-messenger RNA
About the family: Bacterial tmRNA, also known as 10Sa RNA or SsrA, is named for its dual tRNA and mRNA-like properties. Its role is to liberate the mRNA from a stalled ribosome. To accomplish this part of the tmRNA is used as a reading frame that ends in a translation stop signal.
Source: RNAcentral